AGAGUUUGAUUCUGGCUCAGAUUGAACGCUGGCGGGAUGCUUUACACAUGCAGUCGAACGGCAGCACGGACUUCGGUGUGGUAGUGAACGAACAGGUGAGUAAUGUAUCGGAACGAUGCCCUGUGGGACAAGGCGUGACGCGAAAGCGUAGCCUAAUGUUGAUACGGUGAUGAGGAAAGCAGGGACAUUCGGGCCUCGCACUAUUAGAGCAGCCGAUAUCGGAUUAGCUGGUUGAUGAGUGUUUGAACUCCGCAAGGGUGACGAUCCGUAGCUGGUUUGAGAGGACGACCAACCACACUGGGACUGAGACACGGCCCAGACUCCUGGAGGCAGCAGUGAAAUUUUGGACAAUGGGGAAACCCUGAUCCAGCCAUCCCGCGUGAAGGCGAUGAAGGCCUUCGGGUUGUAAAGCACUUUUGGCAGGAAAGAAACGGCACCGGAUAGAUACCCCGUGCAACUGACCAGCCUGCAGAAUAGCACCAGUAACUACGUGCCAGCAGCCGCGGUAAUACGUGAGGUGCAAGCGUUAAUCGGAAUUACUGGGCGUAAAAGCGUGCGCAGGCGGUUCGGAAAGAAAGAUGUGAAAUCCCGAGCUUAACUUUGGAACUGCAUUUUAACUACCGAGCUAGAGUGUGUCAGAGGGAGGUGGAAUUCCGCGUGUAGCAGUGAAAUGCGUAGAUAUGCGGAGGAACACCGAUGGCGAAACGAUAUUUCUGGAUAUUUUCAAUAGCUCAUGCACGAAAGCGUGGGGAGCAAACAGGAUUAGAUACCCUGGUAGUCCACGCCCCUAAACGAUGUCAACUGGCUGUUGAGGCCUUCGGGCCUUGUUGCAGCGCAACUAACGCGUGAAGUUGACCGCCUGCAGGAUGAUACGGUCGCAAGAUUAAAACUCAAAGGAAUUGACGGGGACCCGCACAAGCGGUGGAUGAUGUGGAUUAAUUCGAUGCAACGCGAAAAACCUUACCUGCCCUUGACAGUACCUAUGGAAUCUUGAAGAGAUUUGGGAGUGCUCGCAAGAGAACCCGGAACACAGGUGCUGCAUGGCUGUCGUCAGCUCGUGUCGUGAGAUGUUAAGUUAGAAUCCCGCUGACGGCAUGGCGAAAGUCUCAUUAUGGAUUGCUACGAAAGGACACUCUAAUGGGACUGCCGGUGACAAACCGGAGGAAGGUGGGGAUGACGUCAAGUCCUCGGUGGACCUUAUGGUGGGGACUACACGUCGUAAAGCUGGAAGGUAUGGUCGGGACACGGGGUUGCGUGAACUACCGCGAGGGGGAGCCAAUCCCAGAAACCGGAAUAUGAUCCGAAUCGCAGUCUGCAACUCGACUGCGUGGAAGUCGGAAUCGCUGGUAAUCGCGGAUCGACGAUCGCGGUGAAUACGUUCAGUUCUUGUAGUGUUCCGUCACCAUGGGAGUGGGUUUUACCGGAUAGUUGCCCAGCCUAACGUAAGGAGGGCGAUUACCACAGUAGGAUUCAUGACUGGGGUGAAGUCAUGGCUAAGGUAACUCUGUUACUGAUGCU
RNAcentral lists this ribosomal RNA (1518 nucleotides) under uncultured Bordetella sp. RNAcentral describes it as "partial 16S-23S ribosomal RNA intergenic spacer". It matches the Rfam family "Bacterial small subunit ribosomal RNA". Lineage: Bacteria; Pseudomonadati; Pseudomonadota; Betaproteobacteria; Burkholderiales; Alcaligenaceae. The record is from RNAcentral.